UGAGGAAUAUUGGUCAAUGGGCGAGAGCCUGAACCAGCCAAGUCGCGUGAAGGAUGACGGCCCUACGGGUUGUAAACUUCUUUUGUCAGGGAGCAAUUGGGUCCACGCGUGGGCUUAGCGAGAGUACCUGAAGAAAAAGCAUCGGCUAACUCCGUGCCAGCAGCCGCGGUAAUACGGAGGAUGCGAGCGUUAUCCGGAUUUAUUGGGUUUAAAGGGUGCGUAGGCGGAAUAUCAAGUCAGCGGUAAAAAUUCGGGGCUCAACCCCGUCGUGCCGUUGAAACUGAUGUUCUUGAGUGGGCGAGA
RNAcentral lists this ribosomal RNA (303 nucleotides) under uncultured bacterium. RNAcentral's name for it is "bacterial SSU rRNA". It matches the Rfam family "Bacterial small subunit ribosomal RNA", at positions 355 to 655 of the family's 1533-position model. The record is from RNAcentral.